This 442-nucleotide ribosomal RNA is filed under the name uncultured bacterium. Its description in RNAcentral is "partial 16S ribosomal RNA". It matches the Rfam family "Bacterial small subunit ribosomal RNA", at positions 338 to 795 of the family's 1533-position model. The record is from RNAcentral.
CCUACGGGGGGCUGCAGUGGGGAAUAUUGGGCAAUGGACGCAAGUCUGACCCAGCAACGCCGCGUGAAGGAAGAAGGCUUUCGGGUUGUAAACUUCUUUUAAGGGGGAAGAGCAGAAGACGGUACACCUUGAAUAAGCCACGGCUAACUACGUGCCAGCAGCCGCGGUAAUACGUAGGUGGCAAGCUUUAUCCGGAUUUACUGGGUGUAAAGGGCGUGUAGGCGGGAAAGCAAGUCAGAUGUGAAAACCAUGGGCUCAACCUGUGGCCUGCAUUUGAAACUGUUUUUCUUGAGUACUGGAGAGGCAGACGGAAUUCCUAGUGUAGCGGUGAAAUGCGUAGAUAUUAGGAGGAACACCAGUGGCGAAGGCGGUCUGCUGGACAGCAACUGACGCUGAGGCGCGAAAGCGUGGGGAGCAAACAGGAUUAGAUACCCGGGUAGUC